Equus caballus (horse) is the source of this 10880-nucleotide long non-coding RNA. The record is from Ensembl. NCBI's taxonomy places the organism in Eukaryota, Metazoa, Chordata, Mammalia, Perissodactyla, Equidae.
GGAAACCGGGAGGUGUGGCUGAGGCAGGCCAUGGAGGGGAGUUCAACUAAAAAGUGGUGGAGGGGAAUCCUGCUCUGGACCUCUCCGGCUCCCCCAAAUGUUGGGGACCAGUUUCUCGGGGCUGAAGGAGACAAGCGAGCGGGGAGCUACCUGGGAGGAGCAUUUCAGGGCUGAGGGCUUGAAAAAGCCUUGGGUCCUCAUUGCCUGCUGGGAGCCUGGGGUUCGGGCCCAGCCUUGGGACAACAGUUAUUCUGGAUGCUAUGUGGAAAAGAGACUGCAGAGGGGCCAUUGUGGAAAUAGUGAGACCAGCUAGGAGGCUUUUAAAGUAAUAUAGGCAAAAGAAGAUGAUACCUUCGGCUUAUUUGGAAGUAGUCAGGGUGAUGAGAAAAUAAAUGGCCUUGAAUGUGGAUCUUUGUUCACAUGUACAAGUGUUACAUUGUAGAAUCUAAAGUCUAAGAACUAGAAAUGGAAUCAUUGAACAAUAACACCCUAGUAGCAACAAGCACAGCCAGCCAGCACCCAGAUCUCUGGUUCUAAGUCCAUUCUCCAUUAAGAGAAACCAGGCCUCUUGGAAAAAUGGCUGAUUCCAGGGCUGCAGCAGGGAAGACACAAGAUAAGCCUGGAACAACGUGUACCAGAAAAUAAAGGACAGCUCAAAAAUGUCAAAAGAAUAAAGGAGCCAGCUUGAAGGGACUUCCACUGAUCAAAUCAAGGACAAUUUAAGCAUCAAAACAAAUGAUCACAGUAGCAGAUUAUAACCUACUGAAUAGAAUAAGGAUCCGUAAGUGCAUACUCACAUUAACUAAAGAAAUAAAUAUGAAAGGAAAGCUCUUCCUAACAGUAAAAGGAAUAAUGAAAUUGGAAAGAUGACCAUUCUCGACCAUCAUUGUAAUAACUGAUUCAGCCCCAGUGCAUGGUUGUAUCUCCUACUUGUAAGUCAUUCUCAUUCUAGUUCUUUUACGUGAGCCACUGCCACAGCAUGGCAACUGACAGACAGGUGGUGUGGUUCUGCGACCUGGAAGCAAACCCGGGCCACCAAAGUGGUGAGUGCCAAACUUUACCCACUAGGCCAUCAGGGCUGGCUCGAUUUUAUGUUUUAACCUUGGAGAAUUGUCUGCAUGCUGGUAAGCCUCCUCAAAUCCUUUUUGGAAACAAGGCAGGUCUCAAGUAAAUCAUGAGUCCCACACUGAAUAAGAUGUGUUCUGUGUCCCCUUCCCUCUCUAUCCUCUGAGUCCAGACCCCUGAAGUCUCCCAGCUUCCCCCAUCUCUGAACAACUUCUGCACUGCUCACAGACACUCCCCCCAAGGCUUCCACUUAUGCCUUGAAAUGCCCACAGGCUGCAUACAAGUUUACCUCUAUCCCCCAGGCCUGGUGAGGGAGGGCAGCCCCUGAUUACAGGCUUUUUGAAGAAGGUGCUGUCACUCAGCCCAGCCUAGCAUGCCACACACGUACUUCCAACCCCAGUGCAUGCUCUCCAGGCCCUGUAGACGUAAGGGAGCCCUGCAGGGAGCCUAGAUGCUUCCUUCUUUGAACUGAACCCUUAGAAGCUUAGAACUCAUAAAACAUCUGGGCUGCCAGGGACCUUACUGUUCACCUGCCCCAACCCCCUCGAUGUACAUUAUGCUUGGAAACCAAGGCCAGAGAGAAGGAGUGACUCACCCAAGGUCACACAGUAGGUGAGAAUCCAGAGCUCCUAGAUCCCAGCAGGGCUUGGACCACCAAACCCUGAUCCUGAUGGCCUCUUCCUCCUGGCCCCAGUGUUACCCAACCCUGGCAUCUGGUCUGGAGCCCUUCACUCAAUAAACCCUGACUGACAAAUUUUAAGUCCUAUCCUACCUCCCAACUGGAUAGCUCACAUUCUACUUAAGGGAGGAUAAUAAGAAUCAUAACAACCUCACACACUUAACUGAGAACCUACUAUGUGCAGGCACUGAGCUAAAGCCCUGUAUGGAAACUAUCAGCUCACUUAGUUUAAUGUUCACAAAAGCUUGAUGUGGAUAUAAUUAUUACAGAUGAGGAAACUGAGGGCUAUAGAGGUUAACAACUUACCCAAGGUCACACGUGGAAAAUGCAACUGGGAAAUCUGAUUAGCUUUAACCUCUAGGCCAAAGUGCCUCUCAUAUACAUGAGACACACUCAGCAAAAUGCAAGGAAAACUUAUUGAACAGCUACUAUGUGCAGAACCCUGGGCUAGAUAUUAUGGGGCUCAUGAAUCGAGCCCCACUGGAGAGGAGUGGGGGGAUUUGCAGAAGAUAAUAUGUACCGCUGGGGAGUUGAGAGAGGCUUCUUGGAAGAGGCAUCUGAGAGAGGCUUUGAAGGAUGUAUAGGAUUCCAACGGAUAGUGAUGGGAAGGAGGUGUCCCCAGAAGAAUUGAGGAAGGGUCAGCAUGAGUACAAGCAUGGAGGGCAGGUUACGAGCAGGGAGCAAUGGAAGAUCAGGCUUCUAAGUGGAAAAACUUUAAUGGCAAGGUAAGGAGGUUUGGGGAGCCAUCAAAGUCUUUGAGCAGAAGAGUAACCCAAGUUGCAGUUAUUAAAAGAUCUGCCCAGUGGCAGGAUGGGUGCCUGGAGGAGCGCCUUGCUGGGAUGCUAUGAACCUGAGCCAGCGGCUUCCCCCUGACCUCAGUAUUGAUGGUGUAGCACAGCCGGGCACCAGAACUGAGUCCCUAGGGCAUUUGCUGGAGCUCACAGCCUAUGGAAUUCAGUUCUCAGAGCCAGGUGGCCAAAGUUCUCUCAGUCUUGAUGCUGCCCUCCCAUGCUCUCUUCUGGGAAUUUUUCCCAUUUCCAGGAUGGGUCAGAUGAGGAACCUGGGAUUCCAAGAUUCCUCCUAUCCCAGGGAGGGUCUGAGCUUGGACCUGAAAAUAGGGCCCCACAGUUAGGGAAAGGGCAAGGGUUCUCUAAAUUCCAACAGGAAUUGAUGUAGGACAUGAGGGGAGGGGGCUCAGGGGCUCAGGUAGGGAUUCCAUAGGUACUUGGGAGUUAGUCCCAUCAUCUCCUGCCCAGACGUGCUCCUGGUGGAGCCAGAUGUCGAGCUGGAGGGGCAAAGGACUGGGGGAAGAGCCAGAACAUGUACACUGAGAAGGGCAUCUCUCCAGAGGCUGAGGGGCUUCCUGAGCCAAAGGGGACGCCAAAAAUGUGGAUCCCCAACAUAGGGGCCCAGGAGUCCCAGCUCCCUGAAAAUCUCCACACCUGAAGGGAAAAUCUGAAGUACCUGGAAUAGGCAGGGCAGUGGAAGGGAAGAUUUCCCGAAACACACUUUCACUUUCUGGAGAGUUAAACUGAGGGCUGCGGUGCUGUUCCCACUCACAAGGCAGAGCCUAUCCCUGGAGAGGGAAAGGCAAGCCGGCAGGCUCAGAAGCCACCCUACCCCCACCCUGCUUGAGUUGGGAGAAAGGGGGUCGCACUUACCAGUGAAGGCUCCUCUCGCUCUUGGGGCUGGAUCUGCAGUGAUGCUCUCAGAGAGUGCUCCUUAAAUAGGGCCCCCACCCCGCCCCAGCCAACUCCCACCCCUGCCCCAUCCUGGCUCUUCUGAGAAAGGAGGAAGGUGUGGGAGGGCUGGGCACCCUGCCCAAAGAGCCCUUUCUGACCUCAAGCAAGAGGGGGGACACUUCUCCAGCACCCACCCCCCCAUCCUUCGAAGAAUCCUCUUCCUCAACUCAGUCACUGACUGAGUUCCUCCCACCCGUUGAGACCAGCCAGCUGGCUUCUUUCUCUGCUCUUAAUGUCUGAGAAAUCUGCCCUUUAUGCCUACUUCGAGCCUAAUUUCUCUCUGAGGUUGGAUGGUGAGGCGUCGGUGUGCACGGGGAAGCUUCAGCAUAGGCUUCUAGCUUUUCCCCUCAGAUGAGGAGACCCAGGCUCCCAAACACCAGCUGCAGAAUUCCUUUGAGGGAAUGGAGAGAGAGGAGCCAUCAUGGACCUCCUUUCACCCCGUGUGGCUUCAAGCAGCACUCAAAGGGCAAGUGGAGUCUAUUCCUGUCUUGGGGAGGGAGAGACUAAGACCCAAGGGGAUGGAAAAUCAACGGCUUAAGGUCUGGCCAGCUGUGGAAUGCCAAGCAGGAGAGUGUUCCCUGGAGCCCCUACCUUAUAGUCUGUGUGUGUCCUUGUGUCUGUGGUGGUCCCUCUCCUUAGCCCACCCUCUCUCCUCUGACCCCAGAACCUGACCCCUGCUGCACAGAGUUGGGACCCUCCAGAGUUUGAGUUGGAAGUUGAGAGGCUCCCCCUAAGUGAUCUUUCCCAUCAUCCUUCCCCAAAAGCUCGGGAAGUUCUUUCCGAUGAUGUUAUCUAGCUACAUCCAACUGGCAUCCAAGAAACAGGCAGUCGGGGAGGAGGGAAAGGCGCAGUGUCAGCGAUGGCUGCAGGGGUCUUGGGCCAGAACUAGGGACAGUUCUAGUGAGGAAACCUGAAAUUUCCCGUAAUGAGGGUGGUAGGGAGAGAAGAGUCAUCGGUAUUGUGCAAUGGAGGGGGAGGAGGCUGGGGGGCUGGGUGAGGGGAGGAGUGGCCAUAUCCUUAGAGGGCUGGCAGAGGCCCGGGCCUGACUGAACUACCCAUCACCCCCUUCCCAGGGGCCUGCCUGGCCAGAGUUCAAAGUGGCUGUUACCCCACCCCUCAUUAACCCCAGCAGCGCCAGGCUGGCAGCACCAGUGUGUUUUUAUGGGAGACGCGACGCCAAACGGGCUCCUUCCUUCCUCCCUCCCCUUUCCUGCCUCCUCUCCUCAGCAGCCAACAUCUUGCUCUCUCUGAGGCCAGAGGACCCUGGUGGGGAGGUGGGAGCCUGCAGUGAGGGACAGGACUGGAGGAGGGAGCAGGGAUCCCCUUUUUCUCCAUAUUUUGGCACUGCCUCAGUCCUUAGGGGAAAGGAUGCAACUUUCUACCUUGGGCUGUGGGCUCCUAAGGGCAGGCACAGUCUCUGAGUCCCCAGCACCCUACAAGAGGACUAGCUCUGAAGAGGGAUUCAUCCCUGCUGAUUGGAGAUGAACUAGCUUAUCCUUUAAGGGAAUUCUUUUCCUCACAACCCACUGUGGGCUUCCCCUCAGGGUAGAACCAGGAAGUUGAGGUGGCAGGAACAGAAAAGAGGAAGCUGAGGCCUGCUGGGUCCUGGAGUUCAGCUGCCCUGUUUUAAAUGAGAAGCCCCACCAACAUGGGCAUGAAGGCACUGGGGUAGGCAUGGCCUGCAGGCCAUCCAGGGUCUGGGCUCAGGUGCAUCCUCACUCAGAGCACCUGCUGCCCUCCCUCCAUCCAAACCAGGCUCCAUGGUCCUGAGACUGAGGAUGGAGUUAGAAUUUCCCUGGAUUGUGGUGAAACUGUGCCUUGUACCCACAAGAUUAAGGGAAACAAAAUAACCAAGGUUUCUGAGCUUGCCUUGCAGAACAGCAGGAGGACCGCUGAUACCAGAGGAACUUGCUGACAGCCUCCUGCCUGCCUAAGCCUCUUGCCCGAGCAUUGAGAAGCUAAAAUGACUGAUUGUAAACUUUAAACUUCAAAGACCAAAACUCCACUGUGUGCAACACAUAGAACAGAUAGUCAUGCCUGUGCAGAAGACUCAGAACUUCAGCGCCAAGGCCACGUGCUCCCCCUCCCCUACCUGAAACCCCAAAUAAAAACCCUUGUCUGUAACUUUUCGGGGAGUUCAGGAUUACAGCAUUAGCUGCCUGUUCUCCCUGCUCAGCACUUUGCAGUAAAAUUCCCACUUUCUUCCACUACACCCUGUGUCAGAGAUUGGCUUGCUGCGCAAUGGACUGGCCCAGAACUAACAUCUGCUGCCAAUUCUCGUCCUUUUGCUGAGGAAGACUGGCCCUGAGCUAACAUCUGUGCCCAUCUUCGUCUACUUUUUAUAUGUGGGACUCCUACCAUAGCAUGGCUUGACAAGCAGUGCCAUGUCCUCACCCGGGAUCUGAACCGGCAAACUUCGGGCCGCCAAAGGGGAACGUGCGAACUUAACUGCUGCGCCACCGGGCCGGCCCCUGGAUGGUAUAAUUUCUGAAGGAGUUCUAUUUAAUUGGCUUGAAGUCAGCACUUAUAUAAAUUUUUUCUAAAUGUUAUAGAAACUAGCCCAGAGGUCUUUCAAGUUAACAUGAUAUAAAAUGAUCUUUGGCAAAUAAGAGCUUGUUUAAGUUUGUUGGUUUAAUUGAAAUAAAUGUGAUUUCAGCGUUAUCAACAUUGGAUAUGAUACAAACAUGUUAUCUCUAUUACAAAAUUUGUCAGCAAAAAAUAAUAACUUAGUAUAAUAGUUAAUUUUGUUUGAUGUCUCAUGAGGUUUUUGUAGGCAACCUAAAUAUAAUUGUUGAGAACAGGUAAACUAAAUAGGUGCAAAAAGGAUGAAAGUUUUUUGGGGAACUUUUUAACAAUAAUUAUGUGUUAUGAUGUACGUAUUUAAAACAUCUUAAAAUGAUGGCUAACUGCUCUAAUGUCACAUGAAGUUUCUGUGAGUAAUCUAAACCUAACUGUUGGGAAUAAAUGACUUAGAUAGAUGAAAAUGGGUAAAAGUUUUUGAGUGCAAUAAUUGUGUUUUAUGGUCUGUGUACUUGAAAAACAGCUUCCAAAAUCUUUUUGGCAACUUGAAACUUCAGAGUUUUGCUAAAUUAAAUAAUAGAAAUUUAUUGAGUAUCUAGGUCAUUUCCAUGUAAUAAAAAAUAUUAGAAAUUGAUUACUAAGCAUAGAUUUGUCUGCCUUUGGUUUCUUAUCUCAGAGAAACUGAAAGAUGCUUAGAUUUACUGAUAAACAUGUUUCAUGUAUGAUGGGGAAUUUUCUAUGAGAAAGUACAUAUUUCCGUAUACAAGGAAAGUAAAAUGUAUAUUUUCAUGAAAGAAGGUAAAAAGAAUAGAGGUAUUUUUCUUAGUUUUCUUAAGAAAGAUAAAUUUGCCCUAAAGUACUAGAAAAGAAAAAAAGGAAAGAAAACAGGGAACAAAUGCUGAAUGUAAAAAGCAAGUGACAGAAGAUUUGUGGACAUAAAACCCUGAGGAAUUUUGUGCAUGGUCAAGCUGGCUGAGAUUUAAAUGAAUUCAAUUAAAUGAAUGAGUUUCAAUAUCAAGCGUAAGCUGGUGAAAAAUUAGCAUUUGGCUUUCUCUCUUUUGAAAGGAUGAUCUUUCUGAACUUUUGGUCUGCUCUUGACAAAGAGGCUAUAAAAGAUUUCUCUUUAUUUUUGAGUGAGUCUACCUAAAAGGCAAAAAAAAUCUAUGUUUUGUUAAAAUAACUUCUUAUCUUCAAAAAGACUGAGGUCUCUUUAUUAAGGUUUUAAAAAAAAUUAUUAAUCUGUUUAAACUCUCUCUAUUUGCCUUUGACAUCUUCUGUUGUCACCUUGAUUGAAUGGAUAAGUAAGCAUUGUUUCCUAUUUGACCAAGUGUUUUAAACCCUUUUGAUAUUUUUGACAAAUUCUCCCAAGGUUCAAAUCCUGGGUAACGUCUUUCUUUUGACUUAAAAAGGAACUUUGAGAAUUUCCAAUGGGCCCUGGGUCUUCUCAAAGAAUGUCUUCUCUCUUUCUAUAAAGAGAGAUAUUAAAAUAAUUAGACCUAUUUGGUGUGUUAAAUUACAUGGGAAGCAUUGUCAUAUAAAUGAUGAUAAACCUUCCUGGCGUUAUUUUGUUUGGGAAAAUGUUAUUAAUAUCAGUGUUUUUAAAAAUUAUACAACAUUCCUAAAAUUCUGACCUGUCUUGGUUAUCAGUCAUAAUUCAGGUUGUUAUCUCAAACUGUUAUAUGUCACAGAAAUGGUCAAGUGUCUUUUGUCAAUUGCCAUUUUUUAAUGUUUCGUUAUUUGCAGACAGUUGUUGUUUUACUCUGAUGUUUUUGCAGAUGUGUUUCAUCUUUAGAGAGAUUCAUGGAAAGGACUCUGACACUUGCUCUAGAAUGCAGGUUUCUGAUAAACUUGCAGAUUAUAAACUGAGCUGGAUAAAAAAUUACAGAACUCUCAUGGAGAAACCAAUGGCCUCGUAAAACUGCUAACAGAAGAUCAGGAUCAAGAAUUAAUUACAAGGGCCAGCCCCAUGGCUGAGUGGUUGGGCUCAUGCGCUCUGCUUUGGCAGCCCAGGGUUUCACCAGUUCAGAUCCUGGGCAUGGACCCGGCACCACUCAUCAAGCCAUGCUGAGGGGGCAUCCCACAUGCAGCAGCUAGAAGGACCCACAACUAAAAUAUACAGCUAUGUACUGGGAGGAUUUGGGGAGAAGAAGGAAAAAUAAAAAAUAAAUUUAAAAAAGAAUUUAUUACAUGAGACUGAAUAAAUUGAUGAGUCAUAAUUUUUAUGACUUUUUGUUUGAAAUAUGCUGAUUUCUUAAUGUUUUGUUUUUUCAGAUUUAAGAAAAUCUUUUUUUCUUUUCACUCUUUUCUUUUUUUUUAAGAUUUUAUUUUUCCUUUUUCUCCCAAAAGCCCCCCAGUACAUAGUUGUAUAUAUUAUUUAGUUGUGGGUCCUUCUAGUUGUGGCAUGUGGGAUGCCACCUCAGCAUGGCUUGAUGGGUGAUGCCAUGUCCAUGCCCAGGAUCCAAACCAGUGACACCCUGGGCCGCUGAAGCAGAGUGCGCAAACUUAACCACUUGGCCACAGGGCCGGCCCCUCUUUUCUCUUAAGGAACUAUGCCUUAUAGCAAUUUGUAAGCAGAAUUGAAGCAUUUAUCUCUUUCUCCCUACCUGAUACUUUGAGAAUUUAAAAACUCUUGAUGAGUGAGUAUUCUUAUUUUUAUGGUGAUAUAGGUAUUUACGUAAGUUCAAUAAGAAUCUGUUCUCCUUAUAGUAGGACACAAGUGGAAACACUGGUUAUAUUACCCCGACUUUGACUGGAAUGUCAUAUUUGAAAAAAGUGUAUAAACUCAGAUAUGACCAUAUAACUUUUGAGGAACAAAGGUUGUCUUUAUGAAAUAAAGCCACUUGGAAAUAUUGGCCUGGUACCUUGCGAACAGGAUACCCAGGAACCUUACCAGGUGAGUAAAGAAGGUCACUUCCCUGGCAGGUGCAAGAACCUAAGGAUGUUUGAAGGAUCUCGAGAAGAGAGGAAUUCACCCAAAUCUGUGGGUGUUUCAGGCAGAAUCUGAUGACAAGUCCUUCGCUUGGCUUUCCUGGCCUCAAGAGGCCUUUAAAGUUCAAUCUGAGAUUCCUUACAAAACGUUCCAUCAAAGCAGAUUUAAAGGAGCCUCUAUGAUCAAUUGCUGUUCCUGCUGUAGUUUUGUAAAUGGUUUCAAGUUUACUGAAACUAGACUUAUUUUGUGAACCAAUCAGUCUUAAUUUGACUAUCUUCAGUAAAAAUGAGGGUGAUUUUAGAGAGAAAAAUUGUGUUUCAAUAGAAACUAUAAUACACAUUUGUGGAUAUUAGAUUCUGGUUCUGUUAAUUGUAUUUGAGAUUUUAGUUUUCUAUCUGCAAACUGAAGCUUGACAACUUGAUGUAAACUUAAGAGAGAACACCAUGCUAGCCCAUAUUUAGAAAAUCUUCAUGCCUGUUGCUGUAUAAACCACUCAAAAAGUUUGCCUGAGCACCUGAUGACAUCAUCAGAGACAUUUCAAACUGUAGGGGAUACUUCAACCCUGACAUCUAGAAAUCUUGACGGGUCAUCCCCUGGGCUCAGGAAUUUAUUUAUAAUUUGCUCCACCCAUUAACCUUGUUUUCGUUUUGUUUCUCUAGAAAUGCUUCUUAUUAAGUACCUGGUUACUUGCUUACAGAAUAUAGGCCUAGCUUUGGGAGACCCUUCCUAUGUUCUAGAGAUGAUCCAAAAGAACCAGAGAGAACUCAAAUUAAGGAACUAGACGCUGUCAGAUGUUCCUCUGCAUCAUCUUUGUAGUGGAGACUGAAUCCUAUUAAAGUCCUGAAAACACAAGCACCCAGAAGAUCAACUUCAUCCCCACUGAAUGGGACCAUACAAGAAAUGCCACAAGGGAACAGAAACCAUGCCAUAGAAGAACAUCACAACCAGGAUCACCCAAAUCUUGGCUGGCUUCAUACUCUAGACACUCACUUCUCUGAAUGGACAAAUGAACCUCUGAUAGACCUCAAGUUGCUAUACAGAAGACAGUCUCCUAAAGAUAAUAAAUGACUCUCAGAUUCUUACCUUACUUGUUGGACUACUAAACAGCAUGCUAUUUAGUUACAUCAGAUUUCACUUGAAGUUCCAGGCCCUAACCUUGAUUGGUUUACAGGCCUCUUCUCCUGGAUUCCCCAAGGAGUAAGGUCCAUUGUGGAGGGGAUACUAAAAUUUUGGUUGUGUAUUUUGCUAAUAUGUGUGGUUGUCUAUGUAAUCAUAAAAUGUGGACUUAUGUGUUGUUCUGAAGACAUUGAUCAGAGUAGUAAAAUAUUAGUCAUGCAGAACAUACCUCACUCUCCCCCAUCUGGUACCCAAGAAUAUUUUUUAAAUAAAGGUAGAACAAUUUCAUUUCUCUGACCUCAAACUUUGCCCUUUCACAGCAAGACGCAGCUAGAGCAGUCUUCACCCCCAUUUCCCAAGAUUGAGGAAUGAUCAAAAGAGAGGGGGGCAUUGAAACUGAGGAUGAAGCAGUCAAAAUUUCGCUGGAUUAAGGUGAAAUUGUGCCUUGUACCCACAAGAUUAAUGUGGGAAACAAAAUAACCAAGGUUUCUGAGCUUGUCUUGCAGAACAGCAGGAGGACCGCUGAUACCAGAGAAACUUGCUGACAGCCUCCUGCCUGCCUAAGCCUCUUGCCCGAGCAUUGAGAAGCUAAAAUGACUGAUUGUAAACUUUGGAUGUCACAGACCAAAACUCCACCGUGUGCAACAGAUAAUCAUGCCUGUGCGAGGACUUUUAGAACUUCAGCGCCAAGAACUUCAGCUCCCCCUGCCCUACCUAAAACCCCAAAUAAAAACCCUUGCUUGUAGCUUUUUGAGAGUUCUGGAUUACAGCAUUAGCUGCCUAUUCUCCCUGAUCAGUGCUUUGUAAUAAAAUUCCUACUUUCUUCCAC